GACGAACGCUGGCGGCGUGCCUAACACAUGCAAGUCGAGCGAGGUUGCGGAUGGGUGCUUGCACCCUGAAGCUACCUAGCGGCGGACGGGUGAGUAACGCGUGAGUAACCUGCCUUAUACAGGGGGAUAACAACGAGAAAUCGUUGCUAAUACCGCAUAAGACCACGGUAUCGCAUGGUACAGGGGUAAAAGGAGCAAUCCGGUAUAAGAUGGACUCGCGUCCCAUUAGCUAGUUGGUGAGAUAACAGCCCACCAAGGCAACGAUGGGUAGCCGACCUGAGAGGGUGAUCGGCCACACUGGGACUGAGACACGGCCCAGACUCCUACGGGAGGCAGCAGUGGGGAAUAUUGGGCAAUGGGCGAAAGCCUGACCCAGCAACGCCGCGUGAAGGAGAAGGUCUUCGGAUUGUAAACUUCUGUCGUCAGGGACGAAAAGGACGGUACCUGGCAAGAAAGCCCGGCUAACUACGUG
This 472-nucleotide ribosomal RNA is filed under the name uncultured bacterium. Its description in RNAcentral is "bacterial SSU rRNA". It matches the Rfam family "Bacterial small subunit ribosomal RNA", at positions 28 to 507 of the family's 1533-position model. The record is from RNAcentral.